GAGAGGCAGAAAGAAUGGAUUUGACAGAGAGGAGUACAGAGAAACGUGAAAGAGGUAGAAAGAAUGGAUUUGACAGAGAGGAGUACAGAGAAACGUGAAAGAGGUAGAAAGAAUGGAUUUGACAGAGAGGAGUACAGAGAAACGUGAAAGAGGUAGAAAGAAUGGAUUUGACAGAGAGGAGUACAGAGAAACGUGAAAGAGGUAGAAAGAAUGGAUUUGACAGAGAGGAGUACAGAGAAACGUGAAAGAGGUAGAAAGAAUGGAUUUGACAGAGAGGAGUACAGAGAAACGUGAAAGAGGUAGAAAGAAUGGAUUUGACAGAGAGGAGUACAGAGAAACGUGAAAGAGGUAGAAAGAAUGGAUUUGACAGAGAGGAGUACAGAGAAACGUGAAAGAGGUAGAAAGAAUGGAUUUGACAGAGAGGAGUACAGAGAAACGUGAAAGAGGUAGAAAGAAUGGAUUUGACAGAGAGGAGUACAGAGAAACGUGAAAGAGGUAGAAAGAAU
Long non-coding RNA from Oncorhynchus keta (chum salmon), 506 nucleotides. RefSeq lists it as uncharacterized. The transcript has 3 exons. Lineage: Eukaryota; Metazoa; Chordata; Actinopteri; Salmoniformes; Salmonidae. The record is from RefSeq and is a predicted model, not a curated record.